AGCAGUAGCCGCGGGAAAACGGAGGGUGCAAGCGUUAAUCGGAAUUACUGGGCGUAAAGCGCACGCAGGCGGUCUGACAAGUCAGAUGUGAAAUCCCCGGGCUUAACCUGGGAACUGCAUUUGAAACUGUCAGGCUGGAGUCUUGUAGAGGGGGGUGGAAUUUCAGGUGUAGCGGUGAAAUGCGUAGAGAUCUGGAGGAAUACCGGUGGCGAAGGCGGCCCCCUGGACAAAGACUGACGCUCAGGUGCGAAAGCGUGGGGAGCAAACAGGAUUAGAGACCCCUGUAGUCCCUGUCUCUUAUAC
Molecule: ribosomal RNA, 303 nt
Filed under: uncultured bacterium
Lineage: Bacteria
Description: partial 16S ribosomal RNA
Rfam family: Bacterial small subunit ribosomal RNA
Source: RNAcentral